This 469-nucleotide ribosomal RNA is filed under the name uncultured Microgenomates group bacterium. RNAcentral's name for it is "bacterial SSU rRNA". It matches the Rfam family "Bacterial small subunit ribosomal RNA", at positions 9 to 523 of the family's 1533-position model. The record is from RNAcentral.
GAGUUUGAUCAUGGCUCAGGAUGAAUGCUGGCGGCGUGGAUAAGGCAUGCAAGUCAAGGGGGCCGCAAGGCAACCGGCAGACGAGGUAGUAACACGUACGAACGUACCCAGAAGUCGGGCAUAGCUCGUCGAAAGACGGGGUAAUUCCCGAUAGUCCCGCGAGGGUAAAGGUUUUUCGCUUCUGGAGCGGCGUGCGCAUUAUCAGCUAGUUGGUGAGGUAACGGCUCACCAAGGCUACGACGAUUAGGGGAGCUGAGAGGCUGACCCCCACCGAGGGAACUGAGAGACGGUCCCUACUCCUACGGGAGGCCGCAGUCAAGAACCUUCCGCAAUGGGCGAAAGCCUGACGGAGCGACGCCGCGUGAUGGACGAAGUGCUUCGGCACGUAAACAUCUUUUGUCAGGGACGAAAUUAUUGACGGUACCUGAAGAAUAAGGGGCUCCUAACUCUGUGCCAGCAGCCGCGGUAC